GAUGAACGCUAGCGAUAGGCUUAACACAUGCAAGUCGAGGGGCAGCAUGGUCUUAGCUUGCUAAGACUGAUGGCGACCGGCGCACGGGUGCGUAACGCGUAUGCAACUUGCCUCACAGAGGGGGAUAACCCGUCGAAAGACGGACUAAUACCGCGUACACUCCAUCUUGGGCAUCCAAGGUAGAGGAAAUGAAAUUCGCUGUGAGAUAGGCAUGCGUCCCAUUAGCUAGUUGGUGAGGUAACGGCUCACCAAGGCGACGAUGGGUAGGGGAACUGAGAGGUGGAACCCCCACACUGGUACUGAGACACGGACCAGACUCCUACGGGAGGCAGCAGUGAGGAAUAUUGGUCAAUGGGCGAGAGCCUGAACCAGCCAAGUCGCGUGAAGGAUGACUGUCUUAUGGAUUGUAAACUUCUUUUAUACGGGAAUAACAAGAGUCACGUGUGGCUCCCUGCAUGUACCGUAUGAAUAAGCAUCGGCUAACUCCGUG
RNAcentral lists this ribosomal RNA (490 nucleotides) under uncultured bacterium. RNAcentral describes it as "partial 16S ribosomal RNA". It matches the Rfam family "Bacterial small subunit ribosomal RNA", at positions 28 to 507 of the family's 1533-position model. The record is from RNAcentral.